Molecule: long non-coding RNA, 1294 nt
Filed under: Lathyrus oleraceus (garden pea)
Lineage: Eukaryota; Viridiplantae; Streptophyta; Magnoliopsida; Fabales; Fabaceae
Description: Pisum sativum (pea) long non-coding RNA (PSAT_LNC000795)
Source: RNAcentral
GUUGACUUUAUUAUACACAAUCAAAGGUCUUCAUACAAGAUCAAAUAAAUCAUGCAAUGACAUACAAUCAAAUAUGGCCUACAAUCAUACAAUUAUCACACAAGGCAUGCAAGCAUUCAUAAUUCAAUCAAAAGUCAAACAAUUUAAUCCCCGAGUCAAGGUUAAUUCUAAAACCCUAAAAAAAAAAUACCAAUUUACUUCAUUUGGUUUUGAUAAAAUAAAAUAUAAUAACUUAGAAAGUCAAUAAAAGAAAAUUCAAAUACUCUUUUAUAAUUUUAUUAAAUAAACAAACAAAAGGAUAAUAUUCUUUUAAGUUUGUAGUGAAAAAUAAAUAAGAAAAACUUGAAGCCAAAUAAGAAAGUUGGGCCAUAGGGUGCAGGCCUGUUAUGAGGGAUAUCACUAAGUAACAAGGAUGGGCCUAAGGCCCAUCACUAACCCUAAUCACUAAUAUUAUUAUAAAAAAAGAAAAAGGAAAACAAAAAUGUUGUUGCUACCAACAUCAAGGAAAUGGCGCCUUGCUUGGUCAAAGGGAGUUUCAAUAUUUAAACCAAUCAAAUUGAAAACUGACACGUGUCAUGGAUAUAAUAAAACAAAACAAACCUAUGGGGAUGUUGAUGCAGUCGGAAUCAAUGGGGAUGUUGAUGCAGUCGGAAUCAAUGCGGGAACAGCGGUGCUCCUGGCAGUUGGGUUGUUGUUGUUGGUGAUAAGUAUUGUCAAAAGAUCCCAAGUUCAAAGAAGGAGAUAAUCAAUCAGCAAUAACACCAGUAGACACUGGGGAUACUUAGUUGAACCCACUUGGAGAAAUAGAUACCGAAUCCACAUCAAACCCACCACUGAACCUCAAAAACUCCUGCUGCUGUUGUUGUUGAUUUCCAAAAGUCCUAAAAAUCUCUUGUUGCCUUCUAACAACAACGACAAUAGCCAAUUGUUGAGCUUUACGAUGGUUUUGUUUGGUGGUGCGCGUGUUGUUUGGAUUGUGGAUUGAAAAUGGUGGUGAAGGUGCAUCGAUUUGUUGGGAGAGAAAGUGUUGUUCGCUAGAUUUUAUGGUGUUUUCGUGGUUGUUGUGUUUAAAGUGAUGAUAAGACGAGUUUCAUGGUGUUCAUUAGGAGGAGUUCGUGUGGUUAUGAGUGGCUUUGAGUUGGUGUGUAUGUAGUUUAGUUUGAAACAUGAUGAAGGUUGUGUUGAUGGUUGUUGUAAGGUUUACAUUGCGUUUUCAUGGUGUUGUUAGUGGAUGAUGAUUGUGUGUUGUUGGUUGUUAUAGCAUGGCUUAUAUUUUUUUCUCACUGUAGCGUUA